RNAcentral lists this long non-coding RNA (1322 nucleotides) under Strigops habroptila (Kakapo). RNAcentral's name for it is "lncRNA (ENSSHBG00005007620.1)". Lineage: Eukaryota; Metazoa; Chordata; Aves; Psittaciformes; Psittacidae. The record is from RNAcentral.
CAGAUCCCCCAGCCCCUUCCUGCUGUGUCCCCUAAGCCUAUCCCAGCCCUUCCCGCUGCACCCACUUCCAUCAGCGUUACACAUGCGCUGCAUUUCUCACUGCCACCAGAUUCAGGCCUCAGCCUUGUGUCGAGCAGUUCCACCUGCAACUGAAGUGAGGAGAACUGAACGUGGUUCAGCCUUCACACACUGCUCUAAAGUACCUCGUCUUCUGUAAGGGAAACAGGACUUUGCCAGUCCUGCCCUGCGAUAUGAGGCCUUUGAAUAGACAACUGGUUUUGCUAUUCAUUUCAGCGCAAGUGAGCUCCAGCCCUCGGCUGCCUUUGGGGCCUCCAAUAGGCCCCAACAGAAGCGUUUCAAAGGGGUCACUGUGAAACCACACUGCUCUUGCAGUACAUUUUUUAUCCCUUUGUCUUGGGCGAGUUGUUUUUUCAUCAACAGCCCCCAACACUUUUUAAUUUCUUUUACUUUCUUUUACGGGUACAAUCCAGAUCUCCCAGCCCCUUCCCGCCGCGUCCCCUCAGCCUAUCCCAACCCCUCCCGCCGUGUCCCAUCAGCCCAGCCCAGCCCUCCCUGCCGCAUCCGCUUCCUCCCGUUAGCAUUGUACAUGGUUUACAUGUCUCACUGCCAUCAGAUUCAGCCCUCAACUUUGUGUCGAGCAGUUCCACCUCCAAGUGAAGCGAGUGAGGAGCAGAGCUGAACAUGGUUCAGCCUUCACACACUGCUCUAAGGUACCUCGUCUUCUCUAAGGGAAACAGGACUUUGCCAGGCCUGCCCUGUGAUAUGAGGCCUUUGAAUGGACAACUGGUUUUGUUACCGAUUUCAGCGCAAGUGAGCUCCAGCCCUUGGCUGCCUUUGGGGCCUCCAAUAGACCCCGGCAGAGGUGUUUCAUAAGGAUUCACUGUGGGACUGCGCUGCUCUUGAGGUACAUUUCUUAUAUCCCUUUGUCUUGGGGAUCGUGGUCUUUUCAACAGCUCUGAACGCUCCUAUUUUUAACUCAUUUCACUUGGUUUUGCGGGUACAGCUGGAUCCCCGCAGGCCCUUCCCACCCUGUCCCCUCAGCCCGGCCCAUGGAUCAGCCCAGUUGAGCCUUUGGAUCUCAGCCCCUGCAGCACUGCCCGUCGCAGCCUUCACCCCUUGGCUGCCUCUAGGACCUCCAAUAGGCCCCGACAGAAGCGUUUCAAAGGGGUCACUGCGAAACCACACUGCUCUUGCGGUACAUUUUUUACCCCUGCGUCUUCGCGUGAGUUGUUUUUUCAUCAACAGCCCUCAACACUUUUUAAUUUCUUUCAUUUUCUUUUGCGGGUACAAUCCAGAUCCCC